GCCCGGUUACCUCUGUCGAUAAAGCAUCAUACUCUUAAUGUCAGGGGCGUGGGGUCAAGCCCCACAUUGGGCG
Molecule: non-coding RNA, 73 nt
Organism: Merluccius polli (Benguela hake)
Lineage: Eukaryota; Metazoa; Chordata; Actinopteri; Gadiformes; Merlucciidae
Source: the annotation of a GenBank genome assembly